Molecule: ribosomal RNA, 895 nt
Filed under: uncultured bacterium
Lineage: Bacteria
Description: bacterial SSU rRNA
Rfam family: Bacterial small subunit ribosomal RNA
Source: RNAcentral
AGUUUGAUCCUGGCUCAGGAUGAACGCUAGCGGCAGGCCUAAUACAUGCAAGUCGAACGGGUUGUGGUAGCAAUACCACGAUCAGUGGCGCACGGGUGCGUAACGCGUAUGCAACCUACCUUAAACUGGGGGAUAGCCUUCCGAAAGGAAGAUUAAUACCGCAUAAGAUCACACGAGGGCAUCUGAGAGUGAUUAAAGAUUUAUUGGUUUAAGAUGGGCAUGCGUGCCAUUAGCUAGUUGGUAGGGUAACGGCCUACCAAGGCGACGAUGGCUAGGGGUUCUGAGAGGAUGAUCCCCCACACUGGCACUGAGAUACGGGCCAGACUCCUACGGGAGGCAGCAGUAGGGAAUAUUGGGCAAUGGAGGCAACUCUGACCCAGCCAUGCCGCGUGCAAGAAGAAGGCCUUCUGGGUUGUAAACUGCUUUUAUCUGGGAAGAAAAAGCCCCUGCGGGGGAAACUGACGGUACCAGAGGAAUAAGCACCGGCUAACUCCGUGCCAGCAGCCGCGGUAAUACGGAGGGUGCAAGCGUUGUCCGGAUUUAUUGGGUUUAAAGGGUGCGUAGGCGGCCCGGUAAGUCAGUGGUGAAAGCCUCCAGCUCAACUGGAGAACUGCCAUUGAUACUGCCGGGCUUGAGUACAGACGAGGUUGGCGGAAUUGAUUGUGUAGCGGUGAAAUGCAUAGAUACAAUCAAGAACUCCGAUUGCGUAGGCAGCUAACUAGGCUGUAACUGACGCUGAGGCACGAAAGCGUGGGGAGCGAACAGGAUUAGAUACCCUGGUAGUCCACGCUGUAAACGAUGAUUACUCGAUGUUGGCGAUAAACUGUCAGCGUCUUAGCGAAAGCGUUAAGUAAUCCACCUGGGGAGUACGCCCGCAAGGGUGAAACUCAAAGGA